Molecule: ribosomal RNA, 371 nt
Filed under: uncultured organism
Description: partial 16S ribosomal RNA
Rfam family: Bacterial small subunit ribosomal RNA
Source: RNAcentral
GUAGGUGGCAAGCGUUGUCCGGAAUUAUUGGGCGUAAAGCGCGCGCAGGCGGUUCUUUAAGUCUGAUGUCGAAAGCCCACGGCUCAACCGUGGAGGGUCAUUGGAAACUGGAGAACUUGAGUACAGAAGAGGAAAGCGGAAUUCCACGUGUAGCGGUGAAAUGCGUAGAGAUGUGGAGGAACACCAGUGGCGAAGGCGGCUUUCUGGUCUGUAACUGACGCUGAGGCGCGAAAGCGUGGGGAGCAAACAGGAUUAGAUACCCUGGUAGUCCACGCCGUAAACGAUGAGUGCUAAGUGUUAGGGGGUUUCCGCCCCCUUAGUGCUGCAGCUAACGCAUUAAGCAUCCGCCUGGGAUACGGCCGCAAAGGCUG